RNAcentral lists this transfer RNA (73 nucleotides) under Pteropus alecto (black flying fox). It matches the Rfam family "tRNA". Rfam says of the family: Transfer RNA (tRNA) molecules are approximately 80 nucleotides in length. Their secondary structure includes four short double-helical elements and three loops (D, anti-codon, and T loops). The record is from Rfam by way of RNAcentral. Lineage: Eukaryota; Metazoa; Chordata; Mammalia; Chiroptera; Pteropodidae.
GGUUCCAUAGAGUAGUGGUUAGCACGUCUGCUUUGCACGCAGAAGGUCCUGGGUUCAAGCCCCAGCGGAGCCA